Molecule: ribosomal RNA, 871 nt
Filed under: uncultured bacterium
Lineage: Bacteria
Description: partial 16S ribosomal RNA
Rfam family: Bacterial small subunit ribosomal RNA
Source: RNAcentral
AUUGAACGCUGGCGGCAUGCCUUACACAUGCAAGUCGAACGGCAGCACGGGAGCAAUCCUGGUGGCGAGUGGCGAACGGGUGAGUAAUAUAUCGGAACGNGCCCNGUCGUGGGGGAUAACGCAGCGMAAGCUGUGCUAAUACCNCAUACGAUCUCUGGAUGAAAGCGGGGGACCGCANGGCCUCGCGCGAUUGGAGCGGCCGAUAUCANAUUANCUAGUUGGUGGGGUAAAAGCCCACCAAGCCUGCGAUCUGUAGCUGGUCUGAGAGGACGAUCAGCCACACUGGGACUGAGACACGGCCCAGACUCCUACGGGAGGCAGCAGUGGGGAAUAUUGGACAAUGGGCGCAAGCCUGAUCCAGCAAUGCCGCGUGUGUGAAGAAGGCCCUCGGGUUGUAAAGCACUUUUAUCAGGAACGAAAUACCACSGNUUAAUACCCUAUGGGGCUGACGGUACCUGACGAAUAAGCACCGGCUAACUUCGUGCCAGCAGCCGCGGUAAUACGAAGGGUGCAAGCGUUAAUCGGAAUUACUGSGCGUAAAAGUUGCGUAGGCGGUUCGUUAAGUCUGUCGUGAAAUCCCCGNNCUCAACCUGGGAAUGGCGAUGGAUACUGGCGAGCUAGAGUGUGUCAGAGGAUGGUGGAAUUCCCGGNGNAGCGGUGAAAUGCGUAGAGAUCGGGAGGAACAUCAGUGGCGAANGCGGCCAUCUGGNACAACACUGACGCUGAAGCACGAAAGCGUGGGNAGCAAACAGGAUUAGAUACCCUGGUAGUCCACGCCCUAAACNAUGCGAACUGGAUGUUGGUCUCAACUCGNAGAUCANUGUCGAAGCUAACGCGUUAAGUUCGCCGCCUGGNGANUACGGUCGCANGA